UACAGACUGAGACAUGGAGCCAGAGGACUGAUACCAGCCAGGAAGAGGGAUGUGUUUUCCAGCCACUUCAUAUGAGGGCUGAGUCAGAGAUUCCAUCUCUUCCGGAGGCAGACAGGGCCAGGCAGGCCAGGCCAGGGCAGGGCAGAGCCAAGCGAAGGGAGCUCCCCUUUGAAAACCCUGUCUGUGGAAAGAUCAACGGGCAACUCCUGGGGGAGUCACUGUGCUGUCCUACCCAGUCCUACCCAAACAGCCCCAUGGCCUGGGGCCUGGCUGGGGUGAUAUUCAUUAGGCACUAAAUGAAAGAAAACGGACUAAGACAGGGACAAAUUACCUGGAUUUGUCCAAUAAGAACCGCUUGUUGAAAAACUGUUUGCUACGGUGUGCCCUAAUGACGAUGACCCAGGCCUGCAGCCUCUAUGUCCCAAUGUAGCUCUGCUCUGUUGUGCUGCUGACUGUUUACCUUGGCCCCAGCCCUCCCACCAAAGGACUUUCAACUCAGCAGCGCUGCCCUCCAGGGUGACACUGUCUCUCUUACUCACUGUCUAAAUAAAGCAGCUUUAGGCGUCAGUC
Coregonus clupeaformis (lake whitefish) is the source of this 570-nucleotide long non-coding RNA. RefSeq lists it as uncharacterized. The transcript has 2 exons. Lineage: Eukaryota; Metazoa; Chordata; Actinopteri; Salmoniformes; Salmonidae. The record is from RefSeq and is a predicted model, not a curated record.